This 155-nucleotide non-coding RNA is filed under the name unclassified sequences. RNAcentral's name for it is "RT-3 RNA". It matches the Rfam family "RT-3 RNA". The record is from Rfam by way of RNAcentral.
UAUCGGCGUACAACGAUGGGGACGCGCUCCUCGAUGUGGUGCCGAGGGAAACGAGCCACAGCAACAGCGUCUCAUGAAAGGACGGAAAGCUGAAACAUCAAGUGUCGGGCAAUAGAGUUUGGUAGGCCGGUAACGGUUCGAAGAAGUUUGGCCCG